GACGAACGCUGGCGGCGUGCUUAACACAUGCAAGUCGAACGGAAAGGCCCUGCUUUUGUGGGGUGCUCGAGUGGCGAACGGGUGAGUAACACGUGAGUAACCUGCCCUUGACUUUGGGAUAACUUCAGGAAACUGGGGCUAAUACCGGAUAGGAGCUCCUGCUGCAUGGUGGGGGUUGGAAAGUUUCGGCGGUUGGGGAUGGACUCGCGGCUUAUCAGCUUGUUGGUGGGGUAGUGGCUUACCAAGGCUUUGACGGGUAGCCGGCCUGAGAGGGUGACCGGCCACAUUGGGACUGAGAUACGGCCCAGACCCCUACGGGGGGCAGCAGGGGGGAAUAUUGCACAAUGGGGGGAAGCCUGAUGCGGCAACGCCGCGUGGGGGAUGACGGCCUUCGGGUUGUAAACCGCUUUCGCCUGUGACGAAGCGUGAGUGACGGUAAUGGGUAAAGAAGCACCGGCUAACUACGU
This 467-nucleotide ribosomal RNA is filed under the name uncultured bacterium. RNAcentral's name for it is "partial 16S ribosomal RNA". It matches the Rfam family "Bacterial small subunit ribosomal RNA", at positions 28 to 506 of the family's 1533-position model. The record is from RNAcentral.